RNAcentral lists this non-coding RNA (25 nucleotides) under Cricetulus griseus (Chinese hamster). The record is from RNAcentral. Lineage: Eukaryota; Metazoa; Chordata; Mammalia; Rodentia; Cricetidae.
CUACCAUUAUUUGAACUUUAUGAUA